RNAcentral lists this ribosomal RNA (491 nucleotides) under uncultured bacterium. Its description in RNAcentral is "partial 16S ribosomal RNA". It matches the Rfam family "Bacterial small subunit ribosomal RNA", at positions 29 to 507 of the family's 1533-position model. The record is from RNAcentral.
AGUGAACGCUGGCGGUAGGCCUAACACAUGCGAGUCGAACGGCAGCACAGUAAGAGCUUGCUCUUACGGGUGGCGAGUGGCGGACGGGUGAGGAAUACAUCGGAAUCUACUUUUUCGUGGGGGAUAACGUAGGGAAACUUACGCUAAUACCGCAUACGACCUACGGGUGAAAGCGGGGGAUCUUCGGACCUUGCGCGAUUGAAUGAGCCGAUGUCGGAUUAGCUAGUUGGCGGGGUAAAGGCCACCAAGGCGACGAUCCGUAGCUGGUCUGAGAGGAUGAUCAGCCACACUGGAACUGAGACACGGUCCAGACUCCUACGGGAGGCAGCAGUGGGGAAUAUUGGACAAUGGGCGCAAGCCUGAUCCAGCCAUACCGCGUGGGUGAAGAAGGCCUUCGGGUUGUAAAGCCCUUUUGUUGGGAAAGAAAAGCAGCAGGUUAAUACCCCGCUGUUCUGACGGUACCCAAAGAAUAAGCACCGGCUAACUUCGUG